Bactrocera oleae (olive fruit fly) is the source of this 514-nucleotide long non-coding RNA. RefSeq lists it as uncharacterized. The record is from RefSeq and is a predicted model, not a curated record. NCBI's taxonomy places the organism in Eukaryota, Metazoa, Arthropoda, Insecta, Diptera, Tephritidae.
AUUGUCUUUAAUAAAGUGCUUUUAACUGUGUCGUCACAAAAAAUUCACAAAAGCAUUCCUGUUUUUGCACGAUUUAACCUUAUCCAGGGCUGGUGUAUCUCAGGGCAUUGCGCAAGAGCCAACUCUAUAUGUCUUAUUCACAGCAGAUAUAUCAACAGCUAAAAAUGGAUUGACAUCCACUUUUGCGGAUAGCACAGCUGAAGCAUUUGAUCAACUUAUCUUGGCAUUGACUUGGAUAGAAUCUUCAUCACAUCAACCAUGGCUCAUCAUAAGACAUCAGAGCAGCAAAUUUCAAUUUUAAACUGCAGAUUUACAGAAGGGCAACAAUAUUAAUUAUGUCGACAACGAAUGCGCAAAUAAGCAGACAUAUAAAAAGAGACGAAUUAUUGGAAACUUUAAUGGCUUUAGCGUAAAGCGAAAUUUAGCUGUAUAUUCUGUUACGCAACAUGCGCACGCAUCAGGUAUAGAACUUUAAGUUGGCAUUACUGUUCAAGAUGGCGACCGAUUUAACAGC